GACGAACGCUGGCGGCGUGCUUAACACAUGCAAGUCGAACGGAAAGGCCCUGCUUUUGUGGGGUGCUCGAGUGGCGAACGGGUGAGUAACACGUGAGUAACCUGCCCUUGACUUUGGGAUAACUUCAGGAAACUGUGGCUAAUACCGGAUAGGAGCUCCUGCUGCAUGGUGGUGGUUGGAAAGUUUCGGCGGUUGGGGAUGGACUCGCGGCUUAUCAGCUUGUUGGUGGGGUAGUGGCUUACCAAGGCUUUGACGGGUAGCCGGCCUGAGAGGGUGACCGGCAACAUUGGGACGGGGAAACGGCCCAGCCUCCUCCGGGAGGAAGCAGUGGGGAAUAUUGCAAAAUGGGCGGAGGCCUGAUGAAGCAACGCCGGGUGGGGGAUAACGGCCUUGGGGUGGUAAACCGCUUUAGCAUGUGACGAAGCGUGAGUGACGGUAAUGGGUAAAGAAGCACCGGCUAACUACGUG
RNAcentral lists this ribosomal RNA (468 nucleotides) under uncultured bacterium. Its description in RNAcentral is "partial 16S ribosomal RNA". It matches the Rfam family "Bacterial small subunit ribosomal RNA", at positions 28 to 507 of the family's 1533-position model. The record is from RNAcentral.